RNAcentral lists this ribosomal RNA (610 nucleotides) under uncultured bacterium. RNAcentral's name for it is "bacterial SSU rRNA". It matches the Rfam family "Bacterial small subunit ribosomal RNA", at positions 338 to 950 of the family's 1533-position model. The record is from RNAcentral.
CCUACGGGAGGCAGCAGUAAGGAAUAUUGGACAAUGCUCGCAAGAGUGAUCCAGCCAUGCCGCGUGCAGGAAGAAUGCCCUAUGGGUAGUAAACUGCUUUUGAACUAGAGAAAACCCCAGUACGUGUACUGGGCUGAUAGUAUAGUUAGAAUAAGCAUCGGCUAACUUCGUGCCAGCAGCCGCGGUAAGACGAAGGAUGCAAGCGUUAUCCGGAUUCAUUGGGUUUAAAGGGAGCGUAGGUGGACUGAUAAGUCAGUGGUGAAAUCUCCGAGCUUAACUCGGAAAUUGCCAUUGAUACUGUUGGUCUUGAGUACAGUUGCUGUGGGCGGAAUAUGACAUGUAGUGGUGAAAUACAUAGAGAUGUCAUAGAACACCGAUUGCGAAGGCAGCUCACAAAGCUGUAACUGACACUGAGGCUCGAAAGUGCGGGGAUCAAACAGGAUUAGAUACCCUGGUAGUCCGCACCGUAAACGAUGAUUACUCGCUGCUAGGGGGCAACCUUUAGUGGCUUAGCGAAAGCGAUAAGUAAUCCACCUGGGGAGUACGCCGGCAACGGUGAAACUCAAAUGAAUUGACCGGNGNGAGAGNGCGAGCGACGACGAGGGAGAGG